UACGUAGGUGGCAAGCGUUGUCCGGAUUUACUGGGCGUAAAGGGAGCGUAGGUGGAUAUUUAAGUGGGAUGUGAAAUACCUGAGCUUAACUUGGGUGCUGCAUUCCAAACUGGAUAUCUAGAGUGCAGGAGAGGAAAGUGGAAUUCCUAGUGUAGCGGUGAAAUGCGUAGAGAUUAGGAAGAACCCCAGUGGCGAAGGCGACUUUCUGGACUGUAACUGACACUGAGGCUCGAAAGCGUGGGGAGCAAACAGG
RNAcentral lists this ribosomal RNA (253 nucleotides) under uncultured Clostridium sp. Its description in RNAcentral is "partial 16S ribosomal RNA". It matches the Rfam family "Bacterial small subunit ribosomal RNA", at positions 524 to 776 of the family's 1533-position model. RNAcentral also lists the same sequence under 1 other name. Lineage: Bacteria; Bacillati; Bacillota; Clostridia; Eubacteriales; Clostridiaceae. The record is from RNAcentral.